AGCAGCCGCGGUAAUUCCAGCUCCAAUAGCGUAUAUUAAAGUUGUUGCAGUUAAAAAGCUCGUAGUUGAAUUUCGGGGUCAGUAGGCUGGUCAUGCCACCGGUAUGUACUGGUCUCACUGAUUCCUCCCUCCUGAUGAACCGUAAUGCCAUUAAUUUGGUGUUGCGGGGAAUCUGGACUGUUACUUUGAAAAAUUAGAGUGUUUAAAGCAGGCUAACGCUUGAAUACAUUAGCAUGGAAUAAUGAAAUAGGACGUUCGAUCCUAUUUUGUUGGUUUCUAGGAUUGACGUAAUGAUUAAUAGGGAUAGUUGGGGGCAUUAGUAUUCAAUUGUCAGAGGUGAAAUUCUUGGAUUUAUUGAAGACUAACUACUGCGAAAGCAUUUGCCAAGGAUGUUUUCAUUAAUCAAGAACGAAAGUUAGGGGAUCGAGGACGAUCAGAUACCGUCGUAGU
RNAcentral lists this ribosomal RNA (450 nucleotides) under uncultured Glomeromycotina. Its description in RNAcentral is "SSU rRNA". It matches the Rfam family "Eukaryotic small subunit ribosomal RNA", at positions 569 to 1024 of the family's 1831-position model. The record is from RNAcentral. Lineage: Eukaryota; Fungi; Glomeromycota.